AUUUCAGAAUGCUGUUUUAUUGACUUAUCCUGGCAUGAAUGUGUGACACAGGAUGGUCCACCACAAGUCUGGCAUUCCUACAACCACUAAGCGUAAUUUAUUGGAUAACCGAUGACAGCGGUUUUGUUUGUUUGUUUUGUUGCAAUCUUGGAGUAUUGUUAUUAAUCCUUCCAUAUCACCAGAGCUCAAAAUAUUAGGCCAUAGGCAUAUAUUUCAGGUUAUACGGGUAAGGGAACAUACCGUGGAUCCACAGAGUUUAGUGGUGAUGGUGUAGCUGAGAAAAAUUCUUGCAAGUUGUUUUCACCG
Pelobates cultripes (western spadefoot toad) is the source of this 306-nucleotide non-coding RNA. The record is from the annotation of a GenBank genome assembly. NCBI's taxonomy places the organism in Eukaryota, Metazoa, Chordata, Amphibia, Anura, Pelobatidae.